AACUUUCAACAACGGAUCUCUUGGUUCUGGCAUCGAUGAAGAACGCAGCGAAAUGCGAUAAGUAAUGUGAAUUGCAGAAUUCAGUGAAUCAUCGAAUCUUUGAACGCACAUUGCGCCCGUUAGUAUUCUAGCGGGCAUGCCUGUUCGAGCGUCAU
RNAcentral lists this ribosomal RNA (155 nucleotides) under Xylaria sp. 2 HMH-2010b. RNAcentral describes it as "5.8S ribosomal RNA". It matches the Rfam family "5.8S ribosomal RNA". From Rfam's summary of the family: 5.8S ribosomal RNA (5.8S rRNA) is a component of the large subunit of the eukaryotic ribosome. It is transcribed by RNA polymerase I as part of the 45S precursor that also contains 18S and 28S rRNA. Functionally, it is thought that 5.8S rRNA may be involved in ribosome translocation. RNAcentral also lists the same sequence under 1 other name. The record is from RNAcentral. Lineage: Eukaryota; Fungi; Ascomycota; Sordariomycetes; Xylariales; Xylariaceae.